Molecule: ribosomal RNA, 481 nt
Filed under: uncultured bacterium
Lineage: Bacteria
Description: partial 16S ribosomal RNA
Rfam family: Bacterial small subunit ribosomal RNA
Source: RNAcentral
GACGAACGUUGGCGGCGUGCUUAAUACAUGCAAGUCAACUGAAGCAGUGGUAGCAAUAUCGCUGUGGAGGUGGCGCACGGGUGAGUAACACGUAGGUAAUCUGCCUUCAGGUCUGGCAUAACUCCGGGAAACCGGGGCUAAUAGCAGAUGAUGCAGCGGCUCGACAUCGAGACAGUUGUUAAAGCUAUGGCGCCUGAAGAUGAGCCUGCGUCUGAUUAGCUAGUUGGCGGGGUAACGGCCCACCAAGGCAACGAUCAGUAGCUGGUCUGAGAGGAUGAUCAGGCACACUGGAACUGAGACACGGUCCAGACUCCUACGGGAGGCAGAAGUAAGGAAUAUUGCUCAAUGGGAGAAAUACUGAAGCAGCAACGCCGCGUGAGGGACGAAGGGCUUUUGCUUGUAAACCUCUGUAGUGAGAGAAAAAAAUCCCAAUCUUUGGGACAUGAUGGUAUCUCAAAAGUAAGCCCCGGCUAACUACGUG